AAGUCGUAACAAGGUUUCCGUAGGUGAACCUGCGGAAGGAUCAUUAUAGGGAGGGGCCUUGAGCCCCAGGGGGCUGCGUCCCCCGUCUCUACACCCGUGAAUAUCUACUCUUCCGUUGCUUUGGCGGGACUUUGGGGUAAUACCUAUGCCAGUGCGCUGGAGAGCGCCCGUCAAUCGCCCCCAACGCUCGUGUUGUCUUUGGUACGUCCGAGUCAUAAUUGAAUUAAAACAAAACUUUCAACAACGGAUCUCUUGGUUCUGGCAUCGAUGAAGAACGCAGCGAAAUGCGAUAACUAAUGUGAAUUGCAGAAUUCAGUGAACCAUCGAAUCUUUGAACGCACAUUGCGCCCCUCGGUACCCCGGGGGGUAUACCUGUUCGAGCGUCAUUGCACCCCUCAAGCGUAGCUUGGUCUUGGGUUUUCGUCCCCUGGGCGUACCUUAAAAGUAGUAGCGGUCCGGAGUGACCUUUGAGCGAAGUAAAGGAGAUCAUCCGCUUUGAAACCUCGCUCCGUGUCCUGCUAAGAUCCAUUCGAUUCAAUGGUUGACCUCGGAUCAGGUAGGGAUACCCGCUGAACUUAA
This 579-nucleotide ribosomal RNA is filed under the name Psora rubiformis. RNAcentral's name for it is "eukaryotic LSU rRNA". The stretch from base 233 to 386 matches the Rfam family "5.8S ribosomal RNA". The record is from RNAcentral. Lineage: Eukaryota; Fungi; Ascomycota; Lecanoromycetes; Lecanorales; Psoraceae.